RNAcentral lists this non-coding RNA (104 nucleotides) under Salmonella enterica subsp. arizonae serovar 62:z4,z23:-. Lineage: Bacteria; Pseudomonadati; Pseudomonadota; Gammaproteobacteria; Enterobacterales; Enterobacteriaceae. The record is from RNAcentral.
CAGUUUUGGUAAUUGCGGUCUUGUACACCCAGUUACCUCGGUUCAGAAGAGUUAGCGCUCAACUGCCCCCUCGAAAAAACCACCUUAGCGGGUGGUUUUUUCGU